Molecule: ribosomal RNA, 440 nt
Filed under: uncultured bacterium
Lineage: Bacteria
Description: partial 16S ribosomal RNA
Rfam family: Bacterial small subunit ribosomal RNA
Source: RNAcentral
CCUACGGGAGGCAGCAGUGGGGGAUAUUGCACAAUGGGGGGAACCCUGAUGCAGCGACGCCGCGUGGGUGAAGAAGCGCCCCGGCGCGUAAAGCUCUGUCAGCAGGGAAGAAAAUGACGGUACCUGAAGAAGAAGCCCCGGCUAACGACGUGCCAGCAGCCGCGGUAAUACGUAGGGGGCAAGCGUUAUCCGGAUUUACUGGGUGUAAAGGGGGCGCAGACGGCGAUGCAAGCCAGGAGUGAAAGCCCGGGGGCCAACCCCGGGACUGAUCGUGGAACUGCGUGGCGGGAGUGCAGGAGGGGCAGGCGGAAUUCCUAGUGUAGCGGUGAAAUGCGUAGAUAUCAGGAGGAACACCGGUGGCGAAGGCGGCCUGCUGGACUGCAACUGACGUUGAGGCCCGAAAGCGUGGGGAGCAAACAGGAUUAGAUACCCGUGUAGUC